GGCGUAACAAAAAAGCUUGGCUUUUUGAAAAUGGACAUAUAAAAUCUGCACUGGAGUUUAGCUGUGACUGGGACUCAGACAAAGUAAUGCAGGCAAUAAGGACUGCCUUCCAGCCAGUUGUUGAAGGAUGCAGGCUACAGAUUCUGCUGGCAUGCCACACCAAACUAGUUGAGCCAUCACUCACUUCCAAACAGACUUUGAAUGGAGACCUUGUGAAAAAACUGUUUCAUCAGAAGUCAAUUUAUGUCAGACCUGACAAGGUCAUCUUAUGUGAGGACAAUGAAUCAACAUAUUCUGAUGGAGAGAGUAGCCAUACAAGCAGGCAGGAUUUCACAGAAACGUUGAAUACUGACAAAUGUGGUAAAUAUUUCU
Molecule: long non-coding RNA, 372 nt
Organism: Oreochromis aureus
Lineage: Eukaryota; Metazoa; Chordata; Actinopteri; Cichliformes; Cichlidae
Exons: 3
Source: RefSeq, a predicted model, not a curated record